Callithrix jacchus (white-tufted-ear marmoset) is the source of this 107-nucleotide small nuclear RNA. The record is from Ensembl. Lineage: Eukaryota; Metazoa; Chordata; Mammalia; Primates; Cebidae.
GUGGUCACUUUGGCAGCACAUAUACAAAAACUAAAACAAUACAAAGAAGAUUAACAUAUCAUCUCUGCAUAGAUAUCAUGCAAAUUAGUAAAGCAUUUAUAUUUUUU